GAUCCAGCUUGUCGAUCGGCAAGGAAUCUUCCCGCACAUCGCUCUGAGUCGAGAUUUGGAAGCAUUGCCGGGCGAGUUGUUGGUCCCUACGCAUUUCUCCAACUCCAUUUUUAGUCGAAAAUCGGACCAGCAGAUGAUACGUCGAGACUAUCGCUCUGAAGGCAUUUAGUCCGGGUCUUCUAAGAAUGGCGUUGUAAGCCGAAGAC
This 206-nucleotide long non-coding RNA is filed under the name Elaeis guineensis (African oil palm). RNAcentral describes it as "long non-coding RNA (EGUI_LNC072523)". Lineage: Eukaryota; Viridiplantae; Streptophyta; Magnoliopsida; Arecales; Arecaceae. The record is from RNAcentral.